Molecule: ribosomal RNA, 492 nt
Filed under: uncultured bacterium
Lineage: Bacteria
Description: partial 16S ribosomal RNA
Rfam family: Bacterial small subunit ribosomal RNA
Source: RNAcentral
AGUGAACGCUGGCGGUAGGCCUAACACAUGCAAGUCGAACGGCAGCACAGUAAGAGCUUGCUCUUACGGGUGGCGAGUGGCGGACGGGUGGGGAAUACAUCGGAAUCUACUUUUUCGUGGGGGAUAACGUAGGGAAACUUACGCUAAUACCGCAUACGACCUACGGGUGAAAGCAGGGGAUCUUCGGACCUUACGCGAUUGAAUGAGCCGAUGUCGGAUUAGCUAGUUGGCGGGGUAAAGGCCCACCAAGGCGACGAUCCGUAGCUGGUCUGAGAGGAUGAUCAGCCACACUGGAACUGAGACACGGUCCAGACUCCUACGGGAGGCAGCAGUGGGGAAUAUUGGACAAUGGGCGCAAGCCUGAUCCAGCCAUACCGCGUGGGUGAAGAAGGCCUUCGGGUUGUAAAGCCCUUUUGUUGGGAAAGAAAAGCAGCAGGUUAAUACCCCGCUGUUCUGACGGUACCCAAAGAAUAAGCACCGGCUAACUUCGUG